RNAcentral lists this ribosomal RNA (497 nucleotides) under uncultured bacterium. Its description in RNAcentral is "partial 16S ribosomal RNA". It matches the Rfam family "Bacterial small subunit ribosomal RNA", at positions 28 to 507 of the family's 1533-position model. The record is from RNAcentral.
GAUGAACGCUGGCGGCGUGCCUAAUACAUGCAAGUCGAGCGAACAGACGAGGAGCUUGCUCGUCUGACGUUAGCGGCGGACGGGUGAGUAACACGUGGAUAACCUACCUAUAAGACUGGGAUAACUUCGGGAAACCGGAGCUAAUACCGGACAAUAUUUUGAACCGCAUGGUUCAAUAGUGAAAGACGGUCUUGCUGUCACUUAUAGAUGGAUCCGCGCUGCAUUAGCUAGUUGGUAAGGUAACGGCUUACCAAGGCAACGAUGCGUAGCCGACCUGAGAGGGUGAUCGGCCACACUGGAACUGAGACACGGUCCAGACUCCUACGGGAGGCAGCAGUAGGGAAUCUUCCGCAAUGGGCGAAAGCCUGACGGAGCAACGCCGCGUGAGUGAUGAAGGUCUUCGGAUCGUAAAACUCUGUUAUUAGGGAAGAACAUAUGUGUAAGUAACUGUGCACAUCUUGACGGUACCUAAUCAGAAAGCCACGGCUAACUACGUG